GAUGAAGAACGUAGCGAAAUGCGAUACGUAAUGUGAAUUGCAGAAUUCAGUGAAUCAUCGAAUCUUUGAACGCACCUUGCGCUCCUUGGUAUUCCGAGGAGCAUGCCUGUUUGAGUGUCAUUAAAUUCUCAACCUCACCAGUUUUCUAAACUGUUCUUCGAGGCUUGGAUGUGGGGGUUUGUGCAGGCUGCCUCUCUGGCGGUUUGCUCCCCUGAAAUGCAUUAGCGAGUUCAUACUGAGCUCCGUCUAUUGGUGUGAUAAUUAUCUACGCCGUGGACGAGGUUCAGACUUGCUUCUAACCGUCCGCAAGGACAAUACCUUGACAAUUUGACCUCAAAUCAGGUAGGACUACCCGCUGAACUUAAGCAUAUCAAUAAGCGGAGGA
Molecule: unclassified non-coding RNA, 385 nt
Filed under: soil metagenome
Description: partial contains 5.8S ribosomal RNA, internal transcribed spacer 2, and large subunit ribosomal RNA
Rfam family: 5.8S ribosomal RNA (bases 1-120)
Source: RNAcentral